UCUGAGAACUGGCUAAAGCAGAGAUGGUU
This 29-nucleotide non-coding RNA is filed under the name Rattus norvegicus (Norway rat). The record is from RNAcentral. Lineage: Eukaryota; Metazoa; Chordata; Mammalia; Rodentia; Muridae.